GAACUGUGAAGCUGAGCGACAGACACUGCGGGGUCAGAGAGAGCAUUCGGACUGCAUCAGACCCAGAACUGCACCCGUGAACUUUGCAUGGAAAGGUGCACCAGGGGACUGACCGCAAUGCAAGCUGUAGCCAGGAAAGAGUUUCUCUGGCUCCUUUUAGACAACUUGCUCUUUUCCUCAAGGCCACCAGAUGGCGACGCUACAACUCAAAAUGCAAGUUUGAUCCAUGUAUGAAUGGAAACAUUCACAUACAAAGCCAGUUCUCUCCAGCUUGUGGCCGUUAUGCUGCUUGGGGUCUGCAGAUCAACUGGCGGUACACAACGAGAAGACAGUGCAGCUGAGAAGACAGCAACUGUGUAAGCCCAACAGUGCGCCACGGGAGCUGGGCAGGACUAUGUCAGGGCCGGAAGGAUCGGAGUAGACUGUGUAAGAGACUGGAGAGUGAACGAACGACUCAGUGGCCAACGAGUACUUUCAACACUUGUGAGAAGAGAAGAAUCAUCUCUAAUUGAGAGAUGAAUCCUGUGCACAAGGGGAAGCAUUAUUAGCAUAAUGUGUAUCUGCCAUACGUAUGAACUGAAAAAAUACAAGGCCAUGUGAGAUUCUAGCUUUUAACGGUGUUCAGUGAGGAAUAAUAAAGGCACCUACAAUUUGCCAUUUCUCUUCACUUGUUACUGAGCCAUGUAUCCUUGUGACAAUCCAGCAGUCCCGACUAUUAACUCAAAAACUAAGAGCAAAGAAGCUGUUCAUAGCAAAAUAUAGGAACUAUUUCCUGAUAAGUCUAUUUAAGAAUGAUUCUUUGCCCUAUGACUAUACAUACCCAACACCCAACUGUGUCUUCUUGUCCUGAGCACCAAAUUGCAUCUGAUUUGCCUUAAUGGAUAGCAAGGGUUGCAAAGCCUUUUAAAAAUCAAUGGGCAAGAGAGAGUCAAUACAACAGUAAUGUUUGCAUUAGUUCAAUCAAGUCAGCUAAGAGUUGUUUGCCUUUUCACCUUGGAGUCAUUUGAAACAGGCCAAACAUUUGAUUCACAUGGGGUUUAUUAUACUGAGUGGGAUUUUAUGUGUAAUGAACAUCAUAAUAUAAAGCUAUAAGUGCCAAUAAACAUAAUAUAUUGCUAAAAUGAGAAA
Grammomys surdaster is the source of this 1128-nucleotide long non-coding RNA. RefSeq lists it as uncharacterized. The transcript is spliced from 4 exons. NCBI's taxonomy places the organism in Eukaryota, Metazoa, Chordata, Mammalia, Rodentia, Muridae. The record is from RefSeq and is a predicted model, not a curated record.